UUCUCAAAGUAUCGGAGGUGAUGCGUCGCGCGCCUCCGGGGGCUCCCCCCGGGCGGUAGAGGUAACACUCUUACGCGCCACAUGUCUGAAUCCUUUUUUUACGAGCACCUUUCGUUCUCCUUCGGUGGGGCAACCUGCCGUUGGAACUUAUCAAAACCUUUUUUGCAUCUAGCAUUACCUGUUCAGAUACAAACAAUCGUUACAACUUUCAACAAUGGAUCUCUUGGCUCUGGCAUCGAUGAAGAACGCAGCGAAAUGCGAUAAGUAGUGUGAAUUGCAGAAUUCAGUGAAUCAUCGAAUCUUUGAACGCACAUUGCGCCCCUUGGUAUUCCAUGGGGCAUGCCUGUUCGAGCGUCAUCUACACCCUCAAGCUCUGCUUGGUGUUGGGCGUCUGUCCCGCCUCUGCGCGUGGACUCGCCCCAAAUUCAUUGGCAGCGGUCUUUGCCUCCUCUCGCGCAGCACAUUGCGCUUUAGAGGGGUGUGGGCCGCGUCCACGAAGCAACAUUAUCGUCUUUGACCUCGGAUCAGGUAGGGAUACCCGCUGAACUUAAGCAUAUCAAUAAGCGGAGGAAGACCUCGGAUCAGUUUGAAAGCAAAGGGC
This 601-nucleotide ribosomal RNA is filed under the name Microsphaeropsis sp. DoF18. RNAcentral describes it as "eukaryotic LSU rRNA". The stretch from base 204 to 357 matches the Rfam family "5.8S ribosomal RNA". Lineage: Eukaryota; Fungi; Ascomycota; Dothideomycetes; Pleosporales; Didymellaceae. The record is from RNAcentral.